UAGUACAUUAUGUGAAACUAAGUUACUUUUAUAUUAUGUGAUAUUAUUGUUUUAGAUAUAAAUUAGAUGAUACAAAGAUGUAAGGAUUAUUGAAUGGUAUACACUUCAUUUUAUCUAGUAUAAAACUAAUAGAAAUUCAAUUCGUUAAUAACAUUUUGGUUUUUAAUAUAAAUUUUUCUAAGUGAGAAAAGUCAUAAGGUUAUUACAAUAUAUACUAAAUCGAAUGGACUGGCAUAUGUAAGAUACAUAUUGUUGUUAUUAAAUAUAAAAUA
RNAcentral lists this long non-coding RNA (272 nucleotides) under Helianthus annuus (common sunflower). RNAcentral's name for it is "sRNA HanXRQr2_Chr12g0521061". Lineage: Eukaryota; Viridiplantae; Streptophyta; Magnoliopsida; Asterales; Asteraceae. The record is from RNAcentral.